Long non-coding RNA from Ornithodoros turicata, 371 nucleotides. RefSeq lists it as uncharacterized. NCBI's taxonomy places the organism in Eukaryota, Metazoa, Arthropoda, Arachnida, Ixodida, Argasidae. The transcript has 3 exons. The record is from RefSeq and is a predicted model, not a curated record.
CUUCGUGUAGCCCAAGGGCGCUGCAAAGGUCUUCUGCCGACACUCGGCUACCGGGUGAUCGCCUCGACAUCGCGGGCAGGGGUCAGUGCACGACGCGUGACCGAAUAUUCCACAACGUAUUACCCUACAACAAUCCGAGGCAGCAGAGGUGGCAUGAUGGCAGUGCUUCCAGCAACGUACUCGGAGAGGAAGCCCACUGCGAAGCCAGUAAAGUAUUAGCACCCAUUUGAGUGAGCUGCUGACCUUGGCAAGAAAGCCGGCUGUAUCUGGUGGGCUGCCUCCGUGCGCAAUGCUACAUCUCAUCAACCAUGUUUGGUAGGAUAUUUCCACCAAAAGUAAUAUGAUUUGCCUCUUUUUACAGGCGUUGCCUG